CCCGCGCCCGGCCCGCCGCCCCCGCCCCCCUACGGGAGGCAGCAGUAAGGAAUAUUGCGCAAUGGACGACAGUCUGACGCAGCGACGCCGCGUGGGGGACGAAGGUCUUCGGAUUGUAAACCCCUUUCGGGAGGGAAGAUGGGGUGGGGUAACCCACUCGGACGGUACCUCCAGAAGCAGCCACGGCUAACUUCGUGCCAGCAGCCGCGGUAAUACGAAGGUGGCGAGCGUUGUUCGGAUUUACUGGGCGUACAGGGAGCGUAGGCGGUUCGGUAAGCCCUCUGUGAAAUCUCCAGGCUUAACCUGGAACAGUCGGAGGGGACUGCUGGGCUAGAGGAUGGGAGAGGAGCGCGGAAUUCCCGGUGUAGCGGUGAAUUGCGUAGAGAUCGGGAGGAAGGCCGGUGGCGACGGCGGCGCUCUGGAACAUUUCUGACGAUGAGGCUCGACAGCGUGGGGAGCAAACAGGAUCAGAUACCUUGGUGGUCCUC
RNAcentral lists this ribosomal RNA (488 nucleotides) under uncultured bacterium. RNAcentral describes it as "bacterial SSU rRNA". It matches the Rfam family "Bacterial small subunit ribosomal RNA", at positions 293 to 798 of the family's 1533-position model. The record is from RNAcentral.